Long non-coding RNA from Nycticebus coucang (slow loris), 2585 nucleotides. RefSeq lists it as uncharacterized. The transcript has 3 exons. The record is from RefSeq and is a predicted model, not a curated record. Lineage: Eukaryota; Metazoa; Chordata; Mammalia; Primates; Lorisidae.
GAAAAGAUUCUCCAAUAAGUAAAUUAUUAAUCUUUCAAACCUUUGGAUAUGGCAAACAUUUUUUUAACGAAGAAUAGGUAUACUAGAAACCUAGAACCCUAUCUCGAGCUCUCUCUCUCUCAUUCUCUAGGGCAGAGAAGCUCCUCUGGAACUUCAGAAUGGAGUGUCCUGUACCCUCAAGUCUCCCAGCAAAGCAGUGAACAAAAAAAGAGAAGACAGAGAUGAAGAGAAAGAAAGACAAUGGUUUACUUCACCACCACUUAAACCAGAGAAAGCGUCCUCAGUUAAGGAGAGCUCAGCCUCUGGACAGCAGGUCAGGGGAUCUAAGUGAGGUGGUUGCCCAACGAGAAGUAAGACAGUGAGACUUGAAAUAGACCCAAAAGUUGAAGGAUCACUUGGGUUCACACCUAAACCCACGAUCCAAUCCAACUUUUACCAAAGCUCUGCCUUGAGACCCAGGGUGGCUGGGUUUGAACCUGCCACCUCUGGCAUAUGGGACUGGCGCCCUACUCCUUGAGCCACAGGCACCGCCCGAGGGUGAACUGAUUUUAAAGAUAUGGGGAAACUAUCAUUUACUAAGGAUCUACUAUGUGCUAAUCCUGCUAGUGAUUAUGUCCAUCAGUUUUCACAACUCUACAUGAAGCAUGAUCAUUCAUGCUGUCAAGGUAAGAAACUAAGGCACAAAGAAUAUGGAACGUUCCCAAGGUCAUACAGCUGGUAAGAGACCAAGUGGAUAUGCGAUCCUAAAUGCACCUAGGACUAAGCACCUUCUUCUCACCUACACAACCCUGAGUUCUUAAGACCUGGAAAUCAAACAGAUAAGAAGCGGAGGAUGUCAAGAAAUACUGAAGGUUGCUGAAUCUUGGCGAUGAACUUUUUAAUAAGUCAACCAACAAUUUCUAAAGGACCUGGUUGAAAUACUGUUCAAUAUGACACAGUCUUUUAUGUGAAGGGAUUCGCAGGUGGCCAGAUAAUUACAAAUAAGGUGACUUAAGCCUGAACAAAACAACAAAGAGGUCAUGAGAAAAAGCAAGUUCAUGUACAUAAGAAAUCACUCUUGAAACUAUAGGACUGUAACAAUUAGAUGUUUUCAAAUAAUACUGAAAUUAAGGAUAACGAUGUCAGUCUCCAGAGUGUUCUUCCAUACUAUUAAAAAGAACUCUCAACAAAUUAGUAAUCAUUAACUUAAUUAUAAGAUAUUAUAUAUUCAUUUCAUUCAUCACCAAUACACUGCAGGAAGUACUUCCCUGAGCGUCUCUAAUGCAACCUCCUAUGCCAGUUAAAAGAAAUCCUGUACAUGCCCAUUUCCCUCCUGCAUGAACAAAAACACUUCUCUAUAUCCUGGAAAAGUUUAAUUUGCUAGAAUGGCAUUAAUAGAAAUCAUCAAACUCUAAAAACUCAAAACCUUCAGCAUUUUCAGUCCAAAACACAAAAGAUAAGGAAAUAAUUAAUUCAAAAGUCAUCUCAGGAGAAAUCAAGAUAUACGCAAACUACCCACAGAUCAAAAACUAAAACAGAUUUAGUUCAACUUCAAGUCGCUAAUACACAUGCACACGCAUACUCAGAAAGUGGGCUGAUUGCUGAACUGUUAAUUUUCUUUUUCCCUUUUUUGAGGUGCAUUAUUUAUAAUAUAGCUCACAUAGGGUGCAAAGUUACUAGCCUAUUUUAUAAAAUAAGAAACAAGGCCAGUAUGAUCAAGUUAUUUGACUUAAACAACCUGUGAUUUUAGAAUUGACAAGCAAAUAUUAAAAGUACAAGCAACUGUCAUCCAGCUCGUAUCUCCAAAAGCAGAACUAGAGGAAAAUAAGGCAAAUCCCCUCUAAGAGGGACAAGUCAUUUACCCACAGCCCUCAUAAGCCCUCAGCACCUAGCACACACCCUGACACCCAGUGGGGCCUUGAUGACUAUUUUUUGAAUGAAUAAAUGACAAAUAAAGAAAUGUUAAUGAAAGAUGAGUCUGGUGAAAUCAGUGGUAUAUUCCAUUUCCCUAGAAGGAAUUUAAUUUUAAAUGGGGCUAUAAAGCAUUCAAUGUGUUUUUCUUUUUUUAAGUACCGCAGGGAAAAGGGUGGUCCAUAGAACACUGUGACCUCCAUCUAAUACUACACGAGAAAAAACUGAGAACUACUUUUAAGCUGAACUCAAAACUUCUGUCAGUGCUAAUAAGUUCAAUGCACUACCAUAAAACACACAUACACCACAGAAGAUAAACUGAUGUUAUAAUAGCUUUAAAAAAACUCAACUGCCUGAGGAAAAUAGAUAAGUAUUUUUAAAAAUGUAACAUGAAAAAAGCCAACAAUCCCAUAUAUCAAUGGGCAAGAGAUAUGAAUAGAACCUUCUCUAAAGAAGACAGAUGAAUGGGUAACAAACACAUGAAAAAAUGUUCAUCAUCCCUAUCUAUUAGAGAAAUGCAAAUCAAAACCAUCCUGAGAUACCAUCUAACCCCAGCGAGAAUGGCCCACAUCACAAAAUCUCAAAACUGCAGAUGCUGGCGUGGAUGUGGAGAGAAGGGAACACUUUUACACUGCUGGUGGGACUGCAAACUAGUACAACCUUUCUGGAAGGAAGUAUGGAGAAACCCCAAAGCA